AAAGACCGUGGAGACAAGACGCGGCGUGCACCCACCACCAAAGAAUUGAAGAUUGAGGACCAACGGGACGCCGCUGGACCCAUGCUGGUGAAGACUCUGGAGCCUGCCUGAAGGAACACAUGAACCUGCUGACUGUCUGCAUGGUUUUGUCGGUGAUUGCUUUGUUAAUAUUUAUAGGAUGUUUGGCAUACCACCGCAGACGUUGUUUUGGUUGACCAUUGUCGCCACCUUUAAUAUUUGGGGAAACUCCUGUGCCCCCCUCAUCGGCUCGUUGUGGCAAAAUGAAUUUAUUGUUUUAGGCCAGCAAGUGGCCAACACUUUUAACCUGACUAAUUGUUGGGUAUGUGGUGGACCCUUGGGUUUGGAAAGCUGGCCAUGGACUGCUGUCCCUAUUUCCCCGAAAUGGUUAGUGAGUAAUUACAGUGAGGUAAAAAAUGAUUCUUACUGGGGUGAAGACACGCAGCCCUGGGCAAUAAGAUACCCAGCCCAAGGUGAAUAUUGCCUGAACCAAACACAGAAAGAUGGUGUCCCUGUGGGAAACAUCAAAUGUAACUGGACCUAUACUUAUGGCAACCAUUGCCUCACUGACG
Haliaeetus leucocephalus (bald eagle) is the source of this 590-nucleotide long non-coding RNA. RefSeq lists it as uncharacterized. The transcript is spliced from 3 exons. The record is from RefSeq and is a predicted model, not a curated record. Lineage: Eukaryota; Metazoa; Chordata; Aves; Accipitriformes; Accipitridae.